This 378-nucleotide ribosomal RNA is filed under the name Triticum aestivum (bread wheat). RNAcentral describes it as "partial small subunit ribosomal RNA". Lineage: Eukaryota; Viridiplantae; Streptophyta; Magnoliopsida; Poales; Poaceae. The record is from RNAcentral.
AUGAUCGGGAAUUAUUGGUGGGGCUCUGAGAAUGGCAAAAGGAAGACACAUUGGAAAUCUUGGAGCCAUAUCACAAAACCGAAGGGCCAAGGUGGUAUCAGCUUCAGGGAUUUUAGGGUCUUCAAUCAAGCGUUGCUCGCUCGAUAAGCGUGGCGUCUUUUGACGAUACCAGAUAGCUUAUGUGCCCGUGUUUUGAAAGCUCGGUACUAGCCUAAUGGAAGGCUUGAGGAUACUGUUUUUGCAGGCAAUGCAUCACCCACCUGGCAGGCUAUUCAACAUGGUCUUGAGCUCCUCAAGAUGUGCCUUAUUUGGUGCAUUGGCAAUGGCGAACAAGUCAGGAUAUGGAGGAUCAGUGGAUCCCUCACCCUUUCUCAGUAA